Molecule: long non-coding RNA, 777 nt
Filed under: Felis catus (domestic cat)
Lineage: Eukaryota; Metazoa; Chordata; Mammalia; Carnivora; Felidae
Description: lncRNA (ENSFCAG00000053501.1)
Source: RNAcentral
CACGCCAUUGCGAGGCGGCACCACCCACGUUCGGUGUGCGGGCUGGAGCACUGCCAGCCAGGCUCGCCUCCCAGGCUCAGUCUCGGACGAACGUGGUGAAAAAUCCGCCGUGUACACCCCAAGGGAGGGGAUGCGUGACCCCGUGGCGGCGACCUGCCCCGAAGGACGUUUCGCGGGCCGAAAGAACAUGGUGAUCUGGGCACAGAAGGCACCAAGACUUCCAGCCACACCGUGGGCCUGUUCCAGCCACACUGGGCGUGUGCCUCAAAACUGCGUCUCCCCUUGAAGAGGAAGGUACGGCCUUGGAAGCACGCGCAACUGAAAAUGGUUGGCACAAGAUGUCGGCCUCUGAGCUCCAGCCCAGGCCCCUGCGACGUUCUGUCCUGCUCUUUGAAGACUAUGUACUUACUAGUGGUUCCCUCAGUAUCGUUGCUCCGUAGUUACAACGCGACAACUAUUUCACCGAAGUUGGUAUAAAUCAAGUAGAUUUCUGUGGGGUACCGAGCCGAGCACCCCCGCCAUGACACACAAAACACGGUACCAGAACCUCGCGCUCUGUUGCCGUUGGCUGGAAGCCACGCACUCAGCUCCAGCCCAGGUCCGGAGCUCACACACGGUCUGCAAGAGAGCAGCACUGAACCAGAGGAGGAGACGGCCCUCCCGCUUUCCUGCACGCCUUUUCUGGAGUCCUGCAAACUAUCGCACCCCUUACGUAAGAUCUUGUGAAUUUUUUUCAGUUUAGGGUUUGAAAGCCCGUGUUGCAGAUGAUAUUACAUU